This 85-nucleotide transfer RNA is filed under the name Candidatus Gottesmanbacteria bacterium RBG_16_37_8. RNAcentral's name for it is "tRNA-Leu". It matches the Rfam family "tRNA". From Rfam's summary of the family: Transfer RNA (tRNA) molecules are approximately 80 nucleotides in length. Their secondary structure includes four short double-helical elements and three loops (D, anti-codon, and T loops). The record is from RNAcentral. Lineage: Bacteria; Candidatus Gottesmaniibacteriota.
GCCGGGAUGGCGAAAUUGGUAAACGCACAGUCUUGAGGAGGCUGCGCCGAAAGGCUUGGAGGUUCAAGUCCUCUUCCCGGCACAA